RNAcentral lists this ribosomal RNA (929 nucleotides) under uncultured Acidobacteriota bacterium. RNAcentral describes it as "bacterial SSU rRNA". It matches the Rfam family "Bacterial small subunit ribosomal RNA", at positions 8 to 918 of the family's 1533-position model. Lineage: Bacteria; Pseudomonadati; Acidobacteriota. The record is from RNAcentral.
AGAGUUUGAUUAUGGCUCAGAAUCAACGCUGGCGGCGUGCCUCAGACAUGCAAGUCGAACGAGAAGGUCCCUUCGGGGGCCGGAAAGUGGCGCACGGGUGAGUAACACGUGGGUAAUUUACCUUCGGGUGGGGAACAACAGCCGGAAACGGCUGCUAAUACCGCAUAAUGCAGCGGCACCUAAUGGUGACAGUUGUUAAAGCGGGGGAUCGCAAGACCUCGCGCCUGAAGAGAAGCCCGCGGCGGAUUAGGUAGUUGGUGAGGUAAUGGCUCACCAAGCCUGCGAUCUGUAGCCGGCCUGAGAGGGCGGUCGGCCACACUGACACUGAACAACGGGUCAGACUCCUACGGGAGGCAGCAGUCGGGAAUUUUGGGCAAUGGGCGCAAGCCUGACCCAGCAACGCCGCGUGAAGGAUGAAGUUUUUCGGAAUGUAAACUUCACAAGAAUGGGAAGAAUAGGUUUCAACUAAUACCUGAAACGAUGACGGUACCAUUUGUAAGCUCCGGCUAACUCCGUGCCAGCAGCCGCGGUAAUACGGGGGGAGCAAGCGUUGUUCGGAUUUACUGGGCGUAAAGGGCGCGUAGGCGGCGUGACAAGUCACUUGUGAAAUCUCCGGGCUUAACUCGGAACGGUCAAGUGAUACUGUCGUGCUAGAGUGCGGAAGGGGCAACUGGAAUUCUUGGUGUAGCGGUGAAAUGCGUAGAUAUCAAGAGGAACACCUGCGGCGAAGCGGGUUGCUGGGCCGACACUGACGCUGAGGCGCGAAAGCUAGGGGAGCGAACGGGAUUAGAUACCCCGGUAGUCCUAGCCUUAAACGAUGAAUGCUUGGUGUCCGGGGUUAGAUAGUCCCCGGGUGCCGUCGCUAACGCUUUUAGCAUUCCGCCUGGGGAGUACGGUCGCAAGACUGAAACUCAAAUGAAUUGACGGGG